AUGGAGUUAUCACCUGUUCCUGCUAAGAAAGCCACCGUGCCGGCCUACCAGGCCGCCGACUUCAGCUACGUGUUCACCAGCUUCCACGGCGAACCGUGCGUGUACGACCGCGUCCUCGCCGCCCACGGCAAGCCGGUGCUCGUCACGGGCCCGGUCGUGCCGGAGCCGCCGCAGGGCGAGCUCGAGGAGCGGUGGGCCAAGUGGCUCUCCUCCUUCCCGGACAACGCCGUCGUGUUCGCCUCCUUCGAGAGCGAGACGUUCCUCCCGUCCGCCGCCGCGACGGAGCUCCUCCUCGGCCUAGAAUCCACCAACCGACCGUUCUUCGCCAGGAGGACCAAGGGCAAGGACGUGGUGCACACGGGGUGGGUGCAGCAGCAGCACAUCCUGCGGCACCGCAGCGUGGGGUGCUUCGUGAACCACGCCGGGCUGAGCUCCGUGGUGGAGGGGCUCGUGGCCGGUGGCCGGCUGCCGCCUGGUGCUGCUGCCGAUGAAGGGCGACCACGAGGAUGCGUUCUCCAAAACUCUGGCCUCAUGUCGACGUGCGCCACCGCCCACUCGCAGCAUCGUCCACCUGCAGCCAUCCGCUCUGUGUAUAGCCAUUAA
Molecule: ribosomal RNA, 603 nt
Filed under: Triticum aestivum (bread wheat)
Lineage: Eukaryota; Viridiplantae; Streptophyta; Magnoliopsida; Poales; Poaceae
Description: partial small subunit ribosomal RNA
Source: RNAcentral